RNAcentral lists this ribosomal RNA (766 nucleotides) under uncultured Granulicatella sp. RNAcentral's name for it is "bacterial SSU rRNA". It matches the Rfam family "Bacterial small subunit ribosomal RNA", at positions 28 to 776 of the family's 1533-position model. Lineage: Bacteria; Bacillati; Bacillota; Bacilli; Lactobacillales; Carnobacteriaceae. The record is from RNAcentral.
GACGAACGCUGGCGGCGUGCCUAAUACAUGCAAGUCGAACGAGAGCGACCGGUGCUUGCACUGGUCAAUCUAGUGGCGAACGGGUGAGUAACACGUGGGUAACCUGCCCAUCAGAGGGGGAUAACAUUCGGAAACGGAUGCUAAAACCGCAUAGGUCCUUUAACCGCAUGGUUGAAGGAGGAAAAGAGGCGCAAGCUUCUGCUGAUGGAUGGACCCGCGGUGCAUUAGCUAGUUGGUGAGGUAACGGCUCACCAAGGCCGUGAUGCAUAGCCGACCUGAGAGGGUGAUCGGCCACAUUGGGACUGAGACACGGCCCAAACUCCUACGGGAGGCAGCAGUAGGGAAUCUUCCGCAAUGGACGCAAGUCUGACGGAGCAACGCCGCGUGAGUGAAGAAGGUUUUCGGAUCGUAAAACUCUGUUGUUAGAGAAGAACAAGUGCUAGAGUAACUGUUAGCGCCUUGACGGUAUCUAACCAGAAAGCCACGGCUAACUACGUGCCAGCAGCCGCGGUAAUACGUAGGUGGCAAGCGUUGUCCGGAUUUAUUGGGCGUAAAGCGAGCGCAGGCGGUUAGAUAAGUCUGAAGUUAAAGGCUGUGGCUUAACCAUAGUACGCUUUGGAAACUGUUUAACUUGAGUGCAAGAGGGGAGAGUGGAAUUCCAUGUGUAGCGGUGAAAUGCGUAGAUAUAUGGAGGAACACCGGUGGCGAAAGCGGCUCUCUGGCUUGUAACUGACGCUGAGGCUCGAAAGCGUGGGGAGCAAACAGG